GAUGAACGCUGGCGGCGUGCCUAAUACAUGCAAGUCGAGCGAACGGACGAGAAGCUUGCUUCUCUGAUGUUAGCGGCGGACGGGUGAGUAACACGUGGAUAACCUACCUAUAAGACUGGGAUAACUUCGGGAAACCGGAGCUAAUACCGGAUAAUAUUUUGAACCGCAUGGUUCAAAAGUGAAAGACGGUCUUGCUGUCACUUAUAGAUGGAUCCGCGCUGCAUUAGCUAGUUGGUAAGGUAACGGCUUACCAAGGCAACGAUGCAUAGCCGACCUGAGAGGGUGAUCGGCCACACUGGAACGGAGACACGGUCCAGACUCCUACGGGAGGCAGCAGUAGGGAAUCUUCCGCAAUGGGCGAAAGCCUGACGGAGCAACGCCGCGUGAGUGAUGAAGUUCUUCGGAUCGUAAAACUCUGUUAUUAGGGAAGAACAUAUGUGUAAGUAACUGUGCACAUCUUGACGGUACCUAAUCAGAAAGCCACGGCUAACUACGUG
This 497-nucleotide ribosomal RNA is filed under the name uncultured bacterium. Its description in RNAcentral is "partial 16S ribosomal RNA". It matches the Rfam family "Bacterial small subunit ribosomal RNA", at positions 28 to 507 of the family's 1533-position model. The record is from RNAcentral.